GGACUACAAGGGUAUCUAAUCCUGUUUGCUCCCCACGCUUUCGCACCUCAGCGUCAGUAUUGGCCCAGGUCGCCGCCUUCGCCACUGGUGUUCCUCCCGAUAUCUACGAAUUUCACCUCUACACCGGGAAUUCCGCGACCCUCUUCCAUACUCAAGCCCGUCAGUUUCGGGUGCACUUCCUCGGUUGAGCCGAGGGCUUUCACAUCCGACUUAGCGGGCCGCCUACGUGCGCUUUACGCCCAAUGAUUCCGAGCAACGUUUGCACCCUCCGUAUUACCGCGGCGGCUGGCAC
This 292-nucleotide ribosomal RNA is filed under the name uncultured bacterium. RNAcentral describes it as "partial 16S ribosomal RNA". The record is from RNAcentral.